CACUGUGAUUUCUUCAUGUUAAGGAUCAAGAUCAUUAUUUGGGUAACACACUAAAGAUGAACUGUUCUCCAGGCUUAGUAUCUGUGAUACUCUUACUGCUUGGAAGAACGCGUGGAGAUUCAGUGACCCAGAUGGAAGGGCCAGUGACUCUCUCAGAAAGGGCCUUCCUGACUAUAAACUGCACGUACACAGCCACAGGAUAUCCUUCCCUUUUCUGGUAUGUCCAAUAUCCUGGAGAAGGUCCACAACUCCUCCUGAAAGCCGUGAAGACUGAUGAGAAGGGAAGCAACAAAGGUUUUGAAGCCACAUACCGUAAAGAAACCACUUCUUUCCACUUGAAGAAAGACUCAGUUCAAGAGUCAGAUUCAGCUGUGUACUUCUGUGCUCUGAGUGACACAGUGACAGGGACUGCAAGGGGAGCUGAGCACAAACUCUGAGCAGCACGAGGGGCCCGGGUGC
Chlorocebus sabaeus (green monkey) is the source of this 459-nucleotide non-coding RNA. Lineage: Eukaryota; Metazoa; Chordata; Mammalia; Primates; Cercopithecidae. The record is from the annotation of a RefSeq genome assembly.